AGUGAAUAGAUACCCGGGUAGUCCACGCCGUAAACGAUGAGCACUAGUUAUUGGGGGUAUUGACUCCCUCAGUGACGCAGCUAACGCAUUAAGUGCUCCGCCUGGGGAGUACGGUCGCAAGACUAAAACUCAAACAAAUUGACGGGGGCCCGCACAAGCGGUGGAUUAUGUGGUUUAAUUCGAAGCGACGCGCAGAACCUUACCUAGGCUUGAACUCCUACGAACCCGUUGUAAUGGACGGGGUGUCCGCAAGGAAAUGUAGUGAGAGGUGCUGCAUGGCUGUCGUCAGCUCGUGUUGUGAAAUGUUGGGUUAAGUCUCGCAACGAGCGCAACCCCUAUCGUCUGUUGCCAGCAUUAAGUUGGGCACUCUGACGAGACUGCCUGGGUUAACCCAGGAGGAAGGUGGGGAUGACGUCAAGUCCUCAUGGCCCUUAUGUCUAGGGCUACACACGUAAUACAAUGGCGCGUACAGAGGGAUGCGAACUAGCAAUAGGGAGCAAAUCUCAAAAAGCGCGCCUCAGUUCGG
This 526-nucleotide ribosomal RNA is filed under the name uncultured bacterium. RNAcentral's name for it is "bacterial SSU rRNA". It matches the Rfam family "Bacterial small subunit ribosomal RNA", at positions 774 to 1296 of the family's 1533-position model. The record is from RNAcentral.